GCCCCAAACAUCCCCGAAGAAAGGUAACCACAGAAACAGCCAGAAAUGUGGAGCUGGGCGAUCGUAUGAGGCUGAGACAAAACUGUCUUUCUAGCGUCUCUAGGGGAGAGCUUGAAUCCCUCCUUCCACUCCUCCUCCACGGAAAACAGAGUGAACUCCUGCUACAGAGGCCGCCAGAGCAACAUGCAAGACCAGCUUUGAGGGGAGCGGGCACAGGGCCUUGCAGGGAAGGUGGGCCGAGCCCAGACCCCUCAUUCUUACUUGGCUCUGAAGGCGGAAAGGCAAAGCUAGACCUCGAGGAAGUUCCCCUCCCUGUGGGCCCUACAGUGAAGAUUACAUGAAGGCAUGUGGGCGGUGGACCAGAGUGCACCGACUGAUGAAGGCGGCCCGGUACCCGCGGGUGCCAUGCCUCCUUCUUAGCCAAGGCCACUCUAGCUCCCCGUGAAGUAUCCAGGUAGAAGGCUGGUGGGGUUACAGGAGUGUAUCUCUCUCAGAUGAGAUACAAGUUGGUCCCUUCCCUUGCGUCCCUCCUGUUCCUUCAAGAGGAGGACUGUCUACCCACCCCGAAGCUUCAUGGAGAGAGAGCACACCGUCGUUAUUCAAUAUGUAGUUUUGAAUUUAACUAGAGCAAAGAAGAAAGCAAAUUCAGUCACAUCAUGGCCCAGAAUGGCUGCAAAACCUCUAGCAUUUACUUCCUUAUUCCAGGUGGAAGGAAGAAGAAAAGGGAAAAGGGCUGUCCCCAUCCUUCUAAGGAGAUGGUGCAGUGGCUCACCUUUGGGAGGCCGAGGCAGGCAGAUCACUUGAGCUCAGCAGUUUGAGACCAGCCUGGGUAACAUAGUGAAACCCCAUCUCUACAGAAAUUAAAAAAUUAGCCAGACAUGGCGGCGCACACCUGUGGUCCCAGCUACUCAGGAGGCUGCGGCAGAAGUAUGCCUUGAGCCAAAGAGGCAGAGAUUGCAGUGAGCCAAGAUCAUGCUACUGCACUCCAGCCUGGGCAACGAAGCAAGACUGUCUCAGGAAAAAAAAAAAAAAUGAUCAUUUUUCUCUGUCCACUUGGUGGGUCAACUGAAUGGUAUUCCUGUGUCUUCUACUCUCCUCCCACUUGGAAACCCACUGAGAUGCUCUUCCGAAGGCCAGUGCAUGCUGGGCCACACGAGACAGAGCUCAGGCUGGAGGAGCCUCAUACCCGCCCCUCUAGAUGCUUAUAAAAAUACUUCCCACCUUUGAAUCAAGUGGAAAAUGAGGCUCUCCAGUCAAAAGCCGCGACUGUAUAGAAAGCCCUGAGUUGCCCAAUCUGUUCACAUGGCAUCACCAACCUCUGUGUCAUCAUCAAGCUGUCCAGGGGACUCGAUGGCCACCUGGCCAGGAACUGCGGGCUGAUUGGAAGCUGUUGUUCCCAUUGUAUAAUCACACACAUCAUAAAAUAAUCAGUCUUGUCUCUAUUUACAAUUUUGAUGUUUUGUUCAUCACAAAUUUUUAUAUUAAUUUUUAGUUUAACAAACAUUGCACUAAAAUAAUGUUUCUCUUGAUGACCGAGUUUGGGUGCCCUUUCUAUUCUGUGUACAAGAUGAGAGCCUCACUGGCCUCCCCCAAUCCUGGCACUGCCGGAGGCUUUCCUGCGCCCCCU
This 1627-nucleotide long non-coding RNA is filed under the name Homo sapiens (human). RNAcentral describes it as "HSALNT0300442". Lineage: Eukaryota; Metazoa; Chordata; Mammalia; Primates; Hominidae. The record is from RNAcentral.